UACGAAGGGGGCGAGCGUUGUUCGGAUUUACUGGGCGUAAAGGGCGCGUAGGUGGCCUUGUCAGUCAGGCGUGAAAGCCCCGGGCUCAACCUGGGAACGGCGCUUGGGACGGCGAGGCUGGAGUUCGGGAGAGGAGAGUGGAAUUCCCAGUGUAGAGGUGAAAUUCGUAGAUAUUGGGAAGAACACCGGUGGCGAAGGCGGCUCUCUGGACCGACACUGACGCUGAGGCGCGAAAGCGUGGGGAGCAAACAGG
Molecule: ribosomal RNA, 253 nt
Filed under: uncultured bacterium
Lineage: Bacteria
Description: partial 16S ribosomal RNA
Rfam family: Bacterial small subunit ribosomal RNA
Source: RNAcentral